RNAcentral lists this long non-coding RNA (1027 nucleotides) under Equus caballus (horse). RNAcentral describes it as "lncRNA (ENSECAG00000049870.1)". Lineage: Eukaryota; Metazoa; Chordata; Mammalia; Perissodactyla; Equidae. The record is from RNAcentral.
CUGUAACAUAGAGGCUUUCUACGGCACUAAAAAUGCUCUGUAUGAUACUAGAAUGAGGGACACAUGUCAUUAUACAUUUGGCCACACCAAUACAAAGUAUGACGCUAAGAGUGAGCCCUAAUGUAAACUAUGAGCUUUGGGUGAUUAUGAUGUGUUAAUGUAGGUUCAUCAAUUGUGACAAAUGUACCACUCUGGUGGGGGAUGUUAAUAAUGGAGAGGCUAUACUUGUAAGUAAUAUAAUGUAUGAAUAGGAUAAUGGUAAACAGCACAAAUGGCUAUAGAAUAAGAGACGAGAGAUUCCUUUUAAGAGCAAGCUUUGUGUAGACUUGGAAAAUAGAGCUUCAAUUGUCCAGAAAAUUUUAUAACAACUUGUGUCUACAAAUUUAAGUCAAAUUUUGACAUGGACGUUUUGCGGCAAGGACUCACGGCCUUUCAGCUACACUAGGCUGGACGACUGCAGCUGGUUGUGGAGUGAUCUACUCCUGGAGUUUGCAGCCAAAUGCAAAGUGGACCAGAGUAUUGGGAGCGGUUAAUGGCGAAAAAUAAAAGAAUGACGUUCGCUUAACAAGAAUUGAAGACAGUAAUAGUUCACAAAAGUGACAUGCCAACAAGGCAAAUUUGAAGGCUGGAAAGGAGGCACUGGUCAUAUAGUAAUGGAAAAUGUGGAAAACUCUGCUGCUUGACACCUCUUCACCUUCAUUGACCAAAGUCUUCUGGACGAAUCUAUAGCUACUGACAAUCACUGAAGACUGCCUUGGAGAAGUCAUGUGGAGAUUAUGAUUUUCUUAGGUUUAUGAGGUUGAAGAGUGGGCACUUGGUUGUGAUUCUGGUUGGCUGAGCACCAGUCUCCAUAAGAACCGCAGGAUUUUCUCCCAAACUGCUGAAACCCACUCCGUAGGUGUUGAUGCUGGCACUUCCAAUAUUCCUGCAUGCUCAGGGAAUGACAGCUGCGUCAUAACUACUGCCUGCCAAUGGUGAUCCUAGAACACCAUAGACUUCAGACCCACCCUGAUUUUCAAGACAUGGA